UGGGGAAUAUUGGACAAUGGGGGGAACCCUGAUCCAGCCCUGCCGCGUGUGUGAAGAAGGCCUUAUGGUUGUAAAGCACUUUAAGCGAGGAGGAGGGUACUGGUAUUAAUACUACCAGCUACUGGACGUUACUCGCAGAAUAAGCACCGGCUAACUCUGUGCCAGCAGCCGCGGUAAUACAGAGGGUGCGAGCGUUAAUCGGAUUUACUGGGCGUAAAGCGUGCGUAGGCGGCUAAUUGAGUCGGAUGUGAAAUCCCCGAGCUUAACUUGGGAAUUGCAUUCGAUACUGGUUAGCUAGAGUGUGGGAGAGGAUGGUAGAAUUCCCGGUGUAGCGGUGAAAUGCGUAGAGAUCUGGAGGAAUACCGAUGGCGAAGGCAGCCAUCUGGCCUAACACUGACGCUGAGGUACGAAAGCAUGGGGAGCAAACAGG
Molecule: ribosomal RNA, 430 nt
Filed under: Pseudomonadota bacterium
Lineage: Bacteria; Pseudomonadati; Pseudomonadota
Description: Proteobacteria bacterium partial 16S ribosomal RNA
Rfam family: Bacterial small subunit ribosomal RNA
Source: RNAcentral